This 852-nucleotide ribosomal RNA is filed under the name Cortinarius bolaris. RNAcentral's name for it is "eukaryotic LSU rRNA". It matches the Rfam family "Eukaryotic large subunit ribosomal RNA", at positions 75 to 913 of the family's 3401-position model. Lineage: Eukaryota; Fungi; Basidiomycota; Agaricomycetes; Agaricales; Cortinariaceae. The record is from RNAcentral.
UUCCCCUAGUAACUGCGAGUGAAGCGGGAAAAGCUCAAAUUUAAAAUCUGUCAGUCUUUGGCUGUCCGAGUUGUAAUCUAGAGAAGCGUUAUCCGCGCUGGACCGUGUAUAAGUCUCCUGGAAUGGAGCGUCAUAGAGGGUGAGAAUCCCGUCUUUGACACGGACUACCAGGGCUUUGUGAUGCGCUCUCAAAGAGUCGAGUUGUUUGGGAAUGCAGCUCAAAAUGGGUGGUAAAUUCCAUCUAAAGCUAAAUAUUGGCGAGAGACCGAUAGCGAACAAGUACCGUGAGGGAAAGAUGAAAAGAACUUUGGAAAGAGAGUUAAACAGUACGUGAAAUUGCUGAAAGGGAAACGCUUGAAGUCAGUCGCGUUGUCCAGGAAUCAACCUUGCUUUUGCUUGGUGUACUUUCUGGUUGACGGGUCAGCAUCAAUUUUGACCAUUGGAAAAAUAUUAGGGGAAUGUGGCAUCUUUGGAUGUGUUAUAGCCCUUAGUUGCAUACAAUGGUUGGGAUUGAGGAACUCAGCACGCCGCAAGGCCGGGUUUUUAACCACGUACGUGCUUAGGAUGCUGGCAUAAUGGCUUUAAUCGACCCGUCUUGAAACACGGACCAAGGAGUCUAACAUGCCUGCGAGUGUUUGGGUGGAAAACCCGAGCGCGUAAUGAAAGUGAAAGUUGAGAUCCCUGUCAUGGGGAGCAUCGACGCCCGGACCAGACCUUUUGUGACGGUUCUGCGGUAGAGCAUGUAUGUUGGGACCCGAAAGAUGGUGAACUAUGCCUGAAUAGGGUGAAGCCAGAGGAAACUCUGGUGGAGGCUCGUAGCGAUUCUGACGUGCAAAUCGAUCGUCAAAUUUG